GGCCCCGUAGCUCAAUGGCAGAGCAGGAAACUCUUAAUUUCAAGGUUGGAGGUUCGACUCCUCCCGGGGUCA
This 72-nucleotide transfer RNA is filed under the name hydrothermal vent metagenome. RNAcentral's name for it is "tRNA-Lys-CTT". It matches the Rfam family "tRNA". Rfam says of the family: Transfer RNA (tRNA) molecules are approximately 80 nucleotides in length. The record is from RNAcentral.